UCCCUCGUGGCUCAGAUGGUAAAGUAUCUGCCUGUAAUGCAGGAGACCCAGGUUCGAUCCCUGGAUCGGGAA
This 72-nucleotide transfer RNA is filed under the name Bos taurus (domestic cattle). It matches the Rfam family "tRNA". From Rfam's summary of the family: Transfer RNA (tRNA) molecules are approximately 80 nucleotides in length. Their secondary structure includes four short double-helical elements and three loops (D, anti-codon, and T loops). Lineage: Eukaryota; Metazoa; Chordata; Mammalia; Artiodactyla; Bovidae. The record is from Rfam by way of RNAcentral. RNAcentral also lists the same sequence under 1 other name.